Molecule: ribosomal RNA, 1236 nt
Filed under: metagenome
Description: SSU rRNA
Rfam family: Eukaryotic small subunit ribosomal RNA
Source: RNAcentral
UUUAAGAAGGAUCAAUUGGAGGGCAAGUCUGGUGCCAGCAGCCGCGGUAAUUCCAGCUCCAAUAGGAUAUAUCAGAGUUGUUGCAGUUAAAAAGCUCGUAGUUGAAUUUCUGGAAGGUAGAAGUGUUUUUUUAGAGAAGCAAUUUUUUAUGAAAGACACCGCUUUCCAUUUUGUGGAUUUCUGUUUUGUAUGAAGAUAGUUUACUCUAUUUUUAUAUAAAAUACCACUCCGUCACUGAGAGCAAAUUGGAGUGCUCAAAGCAGGCUUUAUUAGCUUUGAACAUUUUAGCUUGGAAUGACAAGAUAUGACUUUUGUUUUAUUUUGUUGGUUAUGAAAUAAAAGUAAUGAUUAACAGGAACAGUUGCGGGGGUACUCGUAUUGAAAGGUCAGAGGUGAAAUUCUUGGAUUCUUUCAAGACGAACGACUGCGAAAGCAUUUACCAAGGAUGUUUUCAUUAAUCAAGAACGAAAGCUCGGGGAUCGAAGAUGAUUAGAUACCAUCGUAGUCCGACGCCAUAAACGAUGCCGACUCGGGAUUAUUUUGUUUGUUUAAAUCAAAAAGAACACAAAGUAGCACCGUAUGAGAAAUCAAAGUCUUUGGGUUCCGGGGGGAGUAUGGUCGCAAGGCUGAAACUUAAAGGAAUUGACGGAAGGGCACACCAGAGGUGGAGCCUGCGGUUUAAUUUGACCCAACACGGGGAAACUUACCAGGUCCAGACAUGAUGAGGAUUGACAGUUUGAAAGCACUUUCUUGAUUUCAUGGGUGGUGGUGCAUGGCCGUUCUUAGUUGGUGGAGUGAUUUGUCUGGUUGAUUCCGAUAACGAACGAGACGGGGUGAAUUUACUAGUUUGUUAUAUAAUUUACGUUAUAUAAGACUUCUUUAUUCGACAACUUGGUUUUACCAAGAGGAAGCGCCCCGCAAUAACAGGUCUGUGAUGCCCUUAGAUGUUCUGGGCUACACGCGCGCUACAAUGACGAAUUCAACGAGUUUAAAAUUUAUUCCUUAUCCGGAAGGAUGUGGGUAAUCUUUUCAAUAUUCGUCGUGAUGGGGCUAGAUUUUUGCAAUUAUUAAUCUUCAACGAGGAAUCUCUAGUAUGUGCAAGUCAUCAGCUUGCGCAGAAUGCGUCCCUGCCCUUUGUACACACCGCCCGUCGCACCUACCGAUUGGACGAUCCGGCAAGAUGUUUGGAGUUGUUUUGAUUGUAGAGUAAUUUAUGAUGAAAAUGACAAAGCUCUU